RNAcentral lists this ribosomal RNA (253 nucleotides) under uncultured bacterium. RNAcentral describes it as "partial 16S ribosomal RNA". It matches the Rfam family "Bacterial small subunit ribosomal RNA", at positions 524 to 776 of the family's 1533-position model. The record is from RNAcentral.
UACGAAGGGGGCUAGCGUUGCUCGGAAUCACUGGGCGUAAAGCGCACGUAGGCGGCUUUUUAAGUCAGGGGUGAAAUCCUGGAGCUCAACUCCAGAACUGCCUUUGAUACUGAGAAGCUUGAGUCCGGGAGAGGUGAGUGGAACUGCGAGUGUAGAGGUGAAAUUCGUAGAUAUUCGGAAGAACACCAGUGGCGAAGGCGACAUACUGGUCCGUUACUGACGCUGAGGCUCGAAAGCGUGGGGAGCAAACAGG